UACGUAGGGUGCAAGCGUUGUCCGGAAUUAUUGGGCGUAAAGAGCUCGUAGGCGGUUUGUCGCGUCUGCUGUGAAAACUCGGGGCUUAACCCCGGGCCUGCAGUGGGUACGGGCAGACUAGAGUGCGGUAGGGGAGACUGGAAUUCCUGGUGUAGCGGUGAAAUGCGCAGAUAUCAGGAGGAACACCAAUGGCGAAGGCGGGUCUCUGGGCCGAUACUGACGCUGAGGAGCGAAAGCAUGGGUAGCGAACAGG
RNAcentral lists this ribosomal RNA (253 nucleotides) under uncultured bacterium. Its description in RNAcentral is "partial 16S ribosomal RNA". It matches the Rfam family "Bacterial small subunit ribosomal RNA", at positions 524 to 776 of the family's 1533-position model. The record is from RNAcentral.